GCAUGCAUAUGGGGAAGCAUUUUCAUCGUGGAUGCAUAUCGUGAAUGGCAUUAGAAAAGGAGGGACUUGCGCGCCCGCCUCCGCCGCCGCCACCGGGCCCUUACCACCGCCCUCACACGCCACAAGUUCAUAGGCGCUUUCUCGUAGGGCAGUAAACAUUCGGGGUUGGCUGGUUGUAUGUAUAUGCUUGGUUAACUGAUCGAGGUGGCGUGCGUGCGUGGCUGUUUGCAGGUCUCGGCACCGG
Molecule: long non-coding RNA, 244 nt
Filed under: Hordeum vulgare
Lineage: Eukaryota; Viridiplantae; Streptophyta; Magnoliopsida; Poales; Poaceae
Description: long non-coding RNA (HVUL_LNC005949)
Source: RNAcentral